AAUUUUGGACAAUGGGGGAAACCCUGAUCUAGCCACCCCGCGUGUAUGAUGAAGGCCUUAGGGAUGUAAAGUACUUUUGGCAGAGAAGAAAAGGUAUCCCAUACUACGGUAUAUGGCGGACGGAGUCUGCAGAAUAAGCACCAGCUAACUAUGUUCCAGCAGCCGAGGUAAUACGUAGGGUGCAAGCGUUAAUCGGAAUUACUGGGCGUAAAGCGUGUGUAGGCGGUUCGGAAAGAAAGAUGUGAAAUCCCAGGGCUCAACCUUGGAACUACCUUUUUAACUGCUGAGCUAGAGUAUGUCAGAGGGAGGUAGAAUUCCACGUGUAGCAGUGAAAUGCGUAGAUAUGUGGAGGAAUACCGAUGGCGAAGGCAGCCCCCUGGGAUAAUACUGACGCUCAGACACGAAAGCGUGGGGAGCAAACAGG
This 424-nucleotide ribosomal RNA is filed under the name uncultured bacterium. Its description in RNAcentral is "partial 16S ribosomal RNA". It matches the Rfam family "Bacterial small subunit ribosomal RNA", at positions 360 to 776 of the family's 1533-position model. The record is from RNAcentral.